CACGUAGUUAGCCGGUGCUUCUUCUCCAGGUACCGUCACUUGCGCUUCGUCCCUAGCGAAAGGAGUUUACAACCCGAAGGCCUUCAUCCCCCACGCGGCGUCGCUGCAUCAGGCUUGCGCCCAUUGUGCAAUAUUCCCCACUGCUGCCUCCCGUAGGAGUCUGGGCCGUAUCUCAGUCCCAAUGUGGCCGUACACCCUCUCAGGCCGGCUACCCGUCGACGCCUUGGUAGGCCAUUACCCCCACCAACAAGCUGAUAGGCCGCGAGCUCAUCCCAUACCGCAAAAGCUUUCCACAACAAUAUCCAAAAAAGUUGUCCUAUCCGGUAUUAGACCCAGUUUCCCAAGCUUAUCCCGAAGUACAGGGCAGAUCACCCACGUGUUACUCACCCGUUCGCCACUCGAGUACCAGUGCAAGCACUGGCCUUUCCGUCGACUUGCAUGUGUUAAGCACGCCGCCAGCGUUCAUCCUGAGCCAGGAUCAAACUCU
RNAcentral lists this ribosomal RNA (487 nucleotides) under uncultured Corynebacterium sp. RNAcentral describes it as "partial 16S ribosomal RNA". Lineage: Bacteria; Bacillati; Actinomycetota; Actinomycetes; Mycobacteriales; Corynebacteriaceae. The record is from RNAcentral.